UAUGGCUCAGGACGAACGCUGGCGGCGUGCUUCAUACAUGCAAGUCGAACGAUAAGGUCUCUUCGGAGAUACAUAAGUGGCGGACGGGUGAGUAAAAUGUAGAGAAUCUGCCCUAGAGUGGGGGACAACAGUUGGAAACGACUGCUAAUACCGCAUAUGAGCGUAGCUGAAAUGCUAUUCUUGAAAACUCCGGUGCUCUGGGAUGAGUCUGCAUCUGAUUAGCUAGUUGGGGGUGUAAUGGACCACCAAGGCGACGAUCAGUAGCUGGUUUGAGAGGAUGAUCAGCCACAAUGGGACUGAGACACGGCCCAUACUCCUACGGGAGGCAGCAGUAGGGAAUUUUGCGCAAUGGGGGAAACCCUGACGCCAGCAACGCCGCGUGACCGAUGAAGCCCUUCGGGGUGUAAAGGUCUGUCAGUGGGGACGAAACUUGACGGUACCCACAGAGGAAGCAUCGGCUAACUCCGUGCCAGCCGCUGC
RNAcentral lists this ribosomal RNA (480 nucleotides) under uncultured bacterium. Its description in RNAcentral is "bacterial SSU rRNA". It matches the Rfam family "Bacterial small subunit ribosomal RNA", at positions 18 to 518 of the family's 1533-position model. The record is from RNAcentral.